UGUCAGCAGCCGCGGUAAUACGGAGGGUGCAAGCGUUAAUCGGAAUUACUGGGCGUAAAGCGUGCGUAGGCGGUUUAUUAAGUCGGAUGUGAAAUCCCCGGGCUCAACCUGGGAACUGCAUCUGAUACUGGUAGACUAGAGUGUGGGAGAGGAGAGUGGAAUUUCCGGUGUAGCGGUGAAAUGCAUAGAGAUCGGAAGGAACAUCAGUGGCGAAGGCGACUCUCUGGACCAACACUGACGCUGAGGCACGAAAGCGUGGGUAGCAAACAGGAUUAGAUACCCUGGUAGUCCACGCCGUAAACGAUGUCAACUAGCCGUCAGGCUCGCUUUAGAGUUUGGUGGUGGAGCUAACGUAUUAAGUUGACCGCCUGGGGAGUACGCUCGCAAGAGUAAAACUCAAAUGAAUUGACGG
This 412-nucleotide ribosomal RNA is filed under the name uncultured Thiothrix sp. RNAcentral describes it as "bacterial SSU rRNA". It matches the Rfam family "Bacterial small subunit ribosomal RNA", at positions 506 to 916 of the family's 1533-position model. Lineage: Bacteria; Pseudomonadati; Pseudomonadota; Gammaproteobacteria; Thiotrichales; Thiotrichaceae. The record is from RNAcentral.